This is a long non-coding RNA of Ananas comosus (pineapple), 734 nucleotides long. RefSeq lists it as uncharacterized. The record is from RefSeq and is a predicted model, not a curated record. The transcript is spliced from 2 exons. Lineage: Eukaryota; Viridiplantae; Streptophyta; Magnoliopsida; Poales; Bromeliaceae.
UCCAAUGUAAAGUCACCCAAAACCUAUAUAGCACAUAAAAACGCAAGUAUGGGGGCAUGCACUACAGUUUCAGCUCUUUGACUCCCUUUUGCUUUUAUAAUAAUGUAUGAACUUCUCUUAUUUAAGAUGCAUCUGUACGUCCAUUGCCACCCAUCAGGGAAGAUAACAUAUUUAAAAUGCUGCACAAAGACUUCAGUUGUAUGUAUUUGGUGAGGGACUAUGUUCGCUAGGCAGCAGGGUUGAGUUGCAGAGUUGAAACUUGAUAUCAAUAAUUUCCGGAUAAAGUAUUGGGUGCAGAUCAUGGGAGUUGUUGGAACAGCGAAAAAGAGAAGAAAAGUCAAAGGCACAGCCAUGUGAUUUUAACUUCUCUUUGAGGGCUCCUGAAAUGAAAUCUCCAGGAAAUAUGCAUGCACAUUAUGGAAUCAUAGGUAUAUACCAAUCCCCAUAUACAUACAGCACACUCCGGCAUAUUCCAUAGGUUCGUUUCCUUUUUCUAAAAGAGAAUAAGUAAAUUAAAUGCCAUUCUUGGGUAGUCGUAAGUAAUCACAAAGUGACUUCUCUUCUUUUUUUUUUCUUUUUUUUUUUUUCUUUUUUCGAAGGGCCGCCAAGCUCGACCAUUUUUAGGUCAUAACUAUCCACAAAAAGAAUGAGUGUCUCUACUAACUAUUCUAGUAGUCGCCUUGAUCAAUGAAAUGUGCAGAUAACGGUUCAUAUAAAAUACUUUAUGUUGCGUG